CAGCAACGUCCACGCAUGCAUACCUCUUCAUUUUAGCGACAAGGCUCAUUUUGCCUUGAGCGUUCUGUGGGUUUCCUGUGUUGCAUACCUAAUCGAUGGUAAUCUGUUGAUCAAUCAUUGUUCCCUUUCGUCAUGCGUCGCUCUUGCGGCGUGGGGCGAACCUCGUAGCGUUCUUUAUGAUCCACCUUGUCAAUGUCCAUGCAUUUGAUGAGUUGGGCCAUUGAGCAUUGCCUGGUCUCUUGGAUACGGAACCUUAUGCGGGCAUGGGAUCGUACUUGAUCCCUCAUUUGCCCCUGUUAAGCGUUCUCGCUUCUCCAAAACGACUGCUCGUCACGUGUUGGCAUGUCC
RNAcentral lists this unclassified non-coding RNA (348 nucleotides) under Ainsliaea apiculata. RNAcentral's name for it is "partial miscellaneous RNA". Lineage: Eukaryota; Viridiplantae; Streptophyta; Magnoliopsida; Asterales; Asteraceae. The record is from RNAcentral.